This 3940-nucleotide long non-coding RNA is filed under the name Coffea arabica (coffee). RNAcentral describes it as "long non-coding RNA (CARA_LNC001940)". The record is from RNAcentral. Lineage: Eukaryota; Viridiplantae; Streptophyta; Magnoliopsida; Gentianales; Rubiaceae.
GUAAUACUCCUUUGAUGAUGCCAAUCUCGAUUGCUUCUUAGGCUCUAUUGGGACUCCUCAUUUCUUAUUCAGUUCUAGAAUCGAUUGGAGAGUCUUGGUUGGAAGCUUGGUCUUUUUCUUGGUUCCUCUUGUUUUGGCCAUUGUCAAAUUUGUCCUACAAAAUAAGAAAAGGUUAUCAAUGAAAAUUUUUUUUUAAUAAUAAUUGUUGACGGUUUCUUCAAAGAUGUUGGGAUUGAGUUCCAUUAAACAAAUAGCAAUGUAAACCUGUGAAGCACAAAUGGUGACUAAUAACUGACAAUAUGCAAAGCAACUAGUUAGGCAACUUCCAACAAAUUUGAGAACAAACUUCAAGAGCAAAUAAGUUAGGCAACUUCAAACGGUGGCCACUGAACAAACUAAUUGCAUUCAAUUUCUUGGUUUCUAGCCGACAACAGCCUUGACAAUAGCCUUGAGAAUCAGUGGUAACGUCGAAUGCCAGCAAGCCAACACCAAAUGACAACGAACGUAGAUGGAGAUGGCGAAGAUUUUGCUGAAUAGAUGACAACUCCAAGCAACUGGGAAGCAACGAUGUUUGAUGGUUAUUUCCCCAAAACUUGAAGUUUCAAUUAAAGCUUGUGAGCCACUGCAAUCUUUACGAACAACUUGAGUUUUUUGUGGCUUUAAAAAGAGAAAGAAGAAAAAUAGUAUUCACAAUGGAAAAGGAUUCUAAACCAAAAAGGAAUUGUUUCUUGUUUCUUUUUUUUUUAAUGGAAGAAAAGGAUUCUAAUAGCUGCUAAGAAGAAAAUCGAAAGAAAAGUAUUCUAAUAACUGCUAAGAAGACCAAAGUAAAAAAGGACUCUUUUUUUUUUGGUAUUUGAGUGCUGGGUAGAAAACUUCAUCUUGUAACACUUGGGGCAUGAUUUUGAAAUUUAGUCUUUCGAUUGUCGCGCCCCAUUUUUCGCGAUGAAAAUAAGUAUUUACAAAAGAUGUGAUUUUAUUUAAAAAUAAGUGAAAAAUGACCUAGAAUGGGUCUUUAAAGAAUGCGACAGUUUGGAUUCAAAAUUUAGUCUAAAAGGGUUUUUAAGAAAAAAAGGACUCAUCACUUGGUAUUGAGUUUGGGUGUACCAAAUCACCAAAAAGUAUUUUUGAUAAAAAUGAAAUAAAAUAAAACCCUUUUCGACAACUCCAGGUCUUUGAAAAACAAGAGAAAAUGAGUUCGGGAGUCACGGUUGAAGAAAGGAAAGGCAAAGGCUCGAUUAAUUCAAACAUAAGGCACCCUCUCAACCUAGUCUAAAUUAGUUGCGAGGUUUAGUCAAAAAUUUUCCUAAUCUAACCCUUAAAUUUAUCACGUUUGAAUGUUUCCUACAUAAAUGCAAAUCUAAAUUUAUAAAAACGUCGAGAGGGACAAAAUGUCCAUUCAAUAAUUUAAUUAAUACCAAUCGCAUUAAUUACGAAGGUCAAAAUAAUUCCUUAAAUAGGUCACGAGUAUGCGAAUGAUGAAAUUAAAAGAAAAGAAAGUUAAAUUAUAUAUAUAGAUAUAAGUGACCAAAGAAUAGGGAAUGCAACAUAAUGGGUAUGGGAGGCAAAAAUUCGUGACAUAAUUUUCUUAUACAGGAGAAUAUUUGAACUAAAAAGUUAUAAUUACCCAUUUCUCAUAUUUGAAGAAUAAUUCUCCUAACAUGAACAAGCAAAUGAACUAAUUUAUUUUACAAUUUCUUAAAUGAGGUGAAAUCCUAAAUGAUAGGAGACACAUAUACAGGGUAGGUGAUAAUAUAAUAAGAAAUAUCAUGCAAAUGAGAAAGUAUUCUAAAAUAAAAAUAUGCAGGAAAAUGUAAUGAAUGUCACACAAAAAUGAAUCUAACGCACGAACGAUCUAAGAGUCUAGCAUUGGACUAACCCAUUUCUAAAAAUCCUUACUAGCGUUGGACUAGCAAGUAAGCGAAGGGAGAAGCCACAACUAGCGUUGAACUAGUGCGGUGACGUCAUGUAUUCUUAAUACAUAGUAAGACAAAUAAGGUAUAAAUUAAAACAAAUAAACAUGUAAGAGCAUGUAGCACAUAACACAUAAAUAUAAUAUCUAUAUGCAAAAAUCCUAACAAAAGCGAAUAAAGCACAUAACACAUAAGCCACAUAACACGCAAAAACCUAUCUAUUACAGUGGGGAGUCUAACUACAAUCUAAAAUGGGAAAAUAAAAAAUCCUAUCUACCCUAUCUAUUACAAUAGGGGACCUAAUUACAAUCUAAAAUGGAAAAUAUAAUAAAACAAAUCUAGGUAUCCUAUCUAUUAUAUUUUUGAGAUAUUUAAAUGCCUCUCAAAUAAUUAUAAAAAUUAACUAAAUAAAUAUAAAAAAAUUUGAAUGAACAUUUAAAUCAAAUAAAUAAAGCACAUACAAAUAUUUAAACACAUAGGAACACGUACGAGCACAAAAGAGCACGUAAUUGACAUUGAAAUACUAAUAAUAGGGGUACCUCUCUUUUGAAGUGGUGACUAAAUGGAGUCAAAUUGCCCUAUUUAUACUCAAAAUAAACAAAAAAAUCAUGACACCAAUUUAAUUGAAAAAUAAUAAUAAUGAUAAAAAUACUAAAUUCACUUUAAUAUGUCAAACGUAAAGAAAUUUAAGAACAUCUAAAAAUUACAAGUUAAAUAUAUUUAAAAGUAACAUAAUUAGCUAUUAAAGAAAAGAAACAAUCAUAAUAAAGAGAGCUAAAAUUCACUAGGGACUAAAUUGUAAAAUUAAAAACUUUUAGGGUCAAAAAUAUAAUUUUUCUAAAGUUUAAGGGUCAAAAUUAAAUAAAUGAUAAAGUUCAGGGAGCAAAGCACAAUUAUUUUAAGGGUCUAAGUGAAAGAUAUUUAAAAUUUUCUGGGUCACAAUAAAAUACUCCAAAAAUAAAGGACUAAAAUGAAAAUUUUGGUUUCUGAUUUGGGCAAGAAAAAAGCCAUCAGGCCUUUCUUUUAUUUUUUCUUGGGCCGGAACCAUCCGGCCCGGAAGAAACAAGUGGGCUAUUUUUUAUGAAAAUAAACACAAGCCCAGAUGAAAAAGCCCCAAAGAAAGAAGGCCCUAACCCAACCGAAAUUAAAGAAAAUGGCCCAUCAAACAAUAAACAUUUGCCCAAUUCUUUUUUCUUCUUUUUCUUUUCUUUCCUUUCUUUUUUUUUUCUUUCCUUCUCCUUCUCUUCUUAUUCUUCUUUUUCCUUCUUCUUCCACUCGAGAAGCUAAAGCUUACUUCCUGCUAGCGGCUAUGGCCGCCUCCCAUGGCACCACCGCCGAAUGCAGGCAAAUUUUCAGGUCACCAAAUUUUGUCAAAAUGCAUCAUUUCACUCGAUUUUUUGCGUAGAUUCCAUUUUUUAAGUUAGUUUUUACAAAAAAAAAAAAAAGGACCCGAAAGUAACCAAAAUACUAAGAAAUCAGUCCAAUUUUUAUUUUUUUUAAACACUCAAAUCUUCACCAAAAACCACAUAAUUUAUACUACAACACUCAUUGUGAUUUUUACAACAUAACUAUGAACUGAAAUCAAUAAAAGCAACAACACAUAUGACAAAAUUAAAUCAAAACAGUCCAAAAAAAAAAAUCCUUCAAUGCUUUUAAGGCUCAAAAACUCUAAAACUUUGGACAACCAAACAUUUUCGGACCUACACUAGCAAAUGGUCAUCUAUUUUGACAAAAAAAACAUGCACAAUGUUCAGCUUUUUAAUUCGUUUUUCCUUUUUGGCAUUUUAUCAAACAUGUAGCAUGCAUACACAAAAGCUAUUUCUCUUUCUUUAAUCUGGCUUGUAACUUAACCUCAAUAUUUAACAGCACAACAGCAACAAUAAAACCCAAUAAAAGCAAGAGAAACUAGGCAAUCAACAUGAAUUUAAUUUGCUAAAAACAAUUGAGAGAUACCUCACCGAAAGUGGAGUUUCUUGGUUAAAAUGUUUUGAUGAAAUUCCAAACCUCCAACUGUCCAAUGGCUUGCUUUC